Molecule: small RNA, 54 nt
Filed under: Arabidopsis thaliana (thale cress)
Lineage: Eukaryota; Viridiplantae; Streptophyta; Magnoliopsida; Brassicales; Brassicaceae
Description: ATSL156570
Source: RNAcentral
CUCUUAAACUUAUAAAGUGUUCCGUCUCUUUCAUUUAAUUUAUAGUUUUAAUAU